GCUUACGGCCACAUCAGUGUGAAAGUGUCUGAUCUUCGAAGUUAAACACGCCUGUGCUCGGCUAGUACGUGGAUGGGAAAUCGCCUGAGAACCCCAGGUGCUAUAAGCU
This 109-nucleotide ribosomal RNA is filed under the name Erpetoichthys calabaricus (reedfish). Lineage: Eukaryota; Metazoa; Chordata; Cladistia; Polypteriformes; Polypteridae. The record is from RNAcentral.